This is a small nucleolar RNA of Pocillopora damicornis (cauliflower coral), 101 nucleotides long. RefSeq annotates it as small nucleolar SNORD12/SNORD106. NCBI's taxonomy places the organism in Eukaryota, Metazoa, Cnidaria, Anthozoa, Scleractinia, Pocilloporidae. The record is from RefSeq and is a predicted model, not a curated record.
AAAGUGUGGAAUGAUGUAAAAACUUUUUUCCCCAUCCUAUCGACAAUGAUGAUAAACUUGCUGUCACUUUGUGGCAAGCCAGAACUGCCUGACCACACUGU